This 480-nucleotide ribosomal RNA is filed under the name Triticum aestivum (bread wheat). Its description in RNAcentral is "partial small subunit ribosomal RNA". The record is from RNAcentral. Lineage: Eukaryota; Viridiplantae; Streptophyta; Magnoliopsida; Poales; Poaceae.
AUGGCUGGCUGCGACGAUGACCACAAUCUGAACCCCAGCUUCAUGAAGACGGUGUAUAUGUCCUCAGGGAGCAAUGUAUACCUGAAGGGGGUGGCCGUGGAGCGUGUCGAUGGAGAAGAUAGUAAAUUAAUCGAGCACCUUGAGGCCAGAGUGAGUGCUGACAGCGCGAGAUCUGACCCUCUCAUCGAUUUGUUCAUACCAACCAUCGACAGCGAGCACGGCAUAUGCUACACCCAUCCUGAGAAACUUCCAGGUAUCACACUGAGUGGCCUAAGCAAGCAUUUCUUCCAGCGCAAUUCUAGGGCGUACAAAAGGGGCACAUGGACACGUCGCAAGAUACAGUCGGAGUGCGGCAUGCACGUGAUGUGGCACAACACCGGCAAUACCUUGUCGGUGAUGGUCAACGGCCGGCAGACGGGCAUCAAAACGGUUCUGGUGCUGCACACCAACAAGAACUUCGACCAGCAGAGGACCAACUAA